AGUGAACGCUGGCGGUAGGCCUAACACAUGCAAGUCGAACGGCAGCACAGUAAGAGCUUGCUCUUACGGGUGGCGAGUGGCGGACGGGUGAGGAAUACAUCGGAAUCUACUUUUUCGUGGGGGAUAACGUUGGGAAACUUACGCUAAUACCGCAUACGACCUACGGGUGAAAGCAGGGGAUCUUCGGACCUUGCGCGAUUGAAUGAGCCGAUGUCGGAUUAGCUAGUUGGCGGGGUAAAGGCCCACCAAGGCCACGAUCCGUAGCUGGUCUGAGAGGAUGAUCAGCCACACUGGAACUGAGACACGGUCCAGACUCCUACGGGAGGCAGCAGUGGGGAAUAUUGGACAAUGGGCGCAAGCCUGAUCCAGCCAUACCGCGUGGGUGAAGAAGGCCUUCGGGUUGUAAAGCCCUUUUGUUGGGAAAGAAAAGCAGCAGGUUAAUACCCCGCUGUUCUGACGGUACCCAAAGAAUAAGCACCGGCUAACUUCGUG
Molecule: ribosomal RNA, 492 nt
Filed under: uncultured bacterium
Lineage: Bacteria
Description: partial 16S ribosomal RNA
Rfam family: Bacterial small subunit ribosomal RNA
Source: RNAcentral